AUUGAACGCUGGCGGCAGGCCUAACACAUGCAAGUCGAACGGUAACAGGAACCCGCUUGCUGUUUCGCUGACGAGUGGCGGACGGGUGAGUAAUGUCUGGGAAACUGCCUGAUGGAGGGGGAUAACUACUGGAAACGGUAGCUAAUACCGCAUAACGUCGCAAGACCAAAGAGGGGGACCUUCGGGCCUCUUGCCAUCGGAUGUGCCCAGAUGGGAUUAGCUAGUAGGUGGGGUAACGGCUCACCUAGGCGACGAUCCCUAGCUGGUCUGAGAGGAUGACCAGCCACACUGGAACUGAGACACGGUCCAGACUCCUACGGGAGGCAGCAGUGGGGAAUAUUGCACAAUGGGCGCAAGCCUGAUGCAGCCAUGCCGCGUGUAUGAAGAAGGCCUUCGGGUUGUAAAGUACUUUCAGCGGGGAGGAAGGGAGUAAAGUUAAUACCUUUACUCAUUGACGUUACCCGCAGAAGAAGCACCGGCUAACUCCGUG
This 490-nucleotide ribosomal RNA is filed under the name uncultured bacterium. RNAcentral's name for it is "partial 16S ribosomal RNA". It matches the Rfam family "Bacterial small subunit ribosomal RNA", at positions 30 to 507 of the family's 1533-position model. The record is from RNAcentral.